Molecule: ribosomal RNA, 253 nt
Filed under: uncultured bacterium
Lineage: Bacteria
Description: partial 16S ribosomal RNA
Rfam family: Bacterial small subunit ribosomal RNA
Source: RNAcentral
UACAGAGGUCUCAAGCGUUGUUCGGAUUCAUUGGGCGUAAAGGGUGCGUAGGCGGCUAGGUAAGUCGGAUGUGAAAUCCCGAGGCUCAACCCCGGAACUGCAUUCGAUACUGCUUAGCUUGAGUGCUGUAGAGGAGAUUGGAAUUUACGGUGUAGCAGUGAAAUGCGUAGAUAUCGUAAGGAAGACCAGUGGCGAAGGCGAGUCUCUGGACAGCUACUGACGCUGAGGCACGAAGGCCAGGGGAGCAAACGGG